This 81-nucleotide ribosomal RNA is filed under the name Escherichia coli. Its description in RNAcentral is "partial 16S ribosomal RNA". It matches the Rfam family "Bacterial small subunit ribosomal RNA", at positions 1 to 79 of the family's 1533-position model. The record is from RNAcentral. Lineage: Bacteria; Pseudomonadati; Pseudomonadota; Gammaproteobacteria; Enterobacterales; Enterobacteriaceae.
UUAAAUUGAAGAGUUUGAUCAUGGCUCAGAUUGAACGCUGGCGGCAGGCUUAACACAUGCAAGUCGAACGGUAACAGGAAA